RNAcentral lists this ribosomal RNA (465 nucleotides) under Triticum aestivum (bread wheat). RNAcentral describes it as "partial small subunit ribosomal RNA". The record is from RNAcentral. Lineage: Eukaryota; Viridiplantae; Streptophyta; Magnoliopsida; Poales; Poaceae.
AUGUCGAUGGUGAGGCGGAGCAACGUCUUCGAUCCCUUCGCGGACCUCUGGGCGGACCCCUUCGACACCUUCCGCUCCAUCGUCCCGGCGAUGAUCUCAGGCAACAACAACAACGACGAGACAGCUGCGUUCGCCAACGCUCGCGUGGACUGGAAGGAGACCCCUGAGGCGCACGUCUUCAAGGCCGACCUCCCCGGCGUGAAGAAGGAGGAGGUCAAGGUGGAGGUGGAGGACGGCAACGUGCUCGUCGUCAGCGGCGAGCGCACGAAGGAGGAGGAGGACAAGAACGACAAGUGGCACCGUGUGGAGCGUAGCAGCGGCAAGUUCGUGAGGCGCUUCCGCCUGCCCGAGGACGCCAAGGUGGAGGAGGUGAAGGCCGGUCUGGAGAACGGUGUGCUCACUGUCACGGUGCCCAAGGCCGAGGUGAAGAAGCCUGAGGUGAAGGCCAUCGAGAUCACCGGCUGA